This 253-nucleotide ribosomal RNA is filed under the name uncultured bacterium. RNAcentral describes it as "partial 16S ribosomal RNA". It matches the Rfam family "Bacterial small subunit ribosomal RNA", at positions 524 to 776 of the family's 1533-position model. The record is from RNAcentral.
UACGAAGGGGGCUAGCGUUGCUCGGAAUCACUGGGCGUAAAGCGCACGUAGGCGGCUUUUUAAGUCAGGGGUGAAAUCCUGGAGCUCAACUCCAGAACUGCCUUUGAUACUGAAGAUCUUGAGUUCGGGAGAGGUGAGUGGAACUGCGAGUGUAGAGGUGAAAUUCGUAGAUAUUCGCAAGAACACCAGUGGCGAAGGCGGCUCACUGGCCCGAUACUGACGCUGAUGCACGAAAGCGUGGGGAGCAAACAGG